RNAcentral lists this ribosomal RNA (1540 nucleotides) under Staphylococcus aureus SJOS6022. RNAcentral describes it as "16S ribosomal RNA". It matches the Rfam family "Bacterial small subunit ribosomal RNA". The record is from RNAcentral. Lineage: Bacteria; Bacillati; Bacillota; Bacilli; Caryophanales; Staphylococcaceae.
AGAGUUUGAUCCUGGCUCAGGAUGAACGCUGGCGGCGUGCCUAAUACAUGCAAGUCGAGCGAACGGACGAGAAGCUUGCUUCUCUGAUGUUAGCGGCGGACGGGUGAGUAACACGUGGAUAACCUACCUAUAAGACUGGGAUAACUUCGGGAAACCGGAGCUAAUACCGGAUAAUAUUUUGAACCGCAUGGUUCAAAAGUAAAAGACGGUCUUGCUGUCACUUAUAGAUGGAUCCGCGCUGCAUUAGCUAGUUGGUAAGGUAACGGCUUACCAAGGCAACGAUGCAUAGCCGACCUGAGAGGGUGAUCGGCCACACUGGAACUGAGACACGGUCCAGACUCCUACGGGAGGCAGCAGUAGGGAAUCUUCCGCAAUGGGCGAAAGCCUGACGGAGCAACGCCGCGUGAGUGAUGAAGGUCUUCGGAUCGUAAAACUCUGUUAUUAGGGAAGAACAUAUGUGUAAGUAACUGUGCACAUCUUGACGGUACCUAAUCAGAAAGCCACGGCUAACUACGUGCCAGCAGCCGCGGUAAUACGUAGGUGGCAAGCGUUAUCCGGAAUUAUUGGGCGUAAAGCGCGCGUAGGCGGUUUUUUAAGUCUGAUGUGAAAGCCCACGGCUCAACCGUGGAGGGUCAUUGGAAACUGGAAAACUUGAGUGCAGAAGAGGAAAGUGGAAUUCCAUGUGUAGCGGUGAAAUGCGCAGAGAUAUGGAGGAACACCAGUGGCGAAGGCGACUUUCUGGUCUGUAACUGACGCUGAUGUGCGAAAGCGUGGGGAUCAAACAGGAUUAGAUACCCUGGUAGUCCACGCUGUAAACGAUGAGUGCUAAGUGUUAGGGGGUUUCCGCCCCUUAGUGCUGCAGCUAACGCAUUAAGCACUCCGCCUGGGGAGUACGACCGCAAGGUUGAAACUCAAAGGAAUUGACGGGGACCCGCACAAGCGGUGGAGCAUGUGGUUUAAUUCGAAGCAACGCGAAGAACCUUACCAAAUCUUGACAUCCUUUGACAACUCUAGAGAUAGAGCCUUCCCCUUCGGGGGACAAAGUGACAGGUGGUGCAUGGUUGUCGUCAGCUCGUGUCGUGAGAUGUUGGGUUAAGUCCCGCAACGAGCGCAACCCUUAAGCUUAGUUGCCAUCAUUAAGUUGGGCACUCUAAGUUGACUGCCGGUGACAAACCGGAGGAAGGUGGGGAUGACGUCAAAUCAUCAUGCCCCUUAUGAUUUGGGCUACACACGUGCUACAAUGGACAAUACAAAGGGCAGCGAAACCGCGAGGUCAAGCAAAUCCCAUAAAGUUGUUCUCAGUUCGGAUUGUAGUCUGCAACUCGACUACAUGAAGCUGGAAUCGCUAGUAAUCGUAGAUCAGCAUGCUACGGUGAAUACGUUCCCGGGUCUUGUACACACCGCCCGUCACACCACGAGAGUUUGUAACACCCGAAGCCGGUGGAGUAACCUUUUAGGAGCUAGCCGUCGAAGGUGGGACAAAUGAUUGGGGUGAAGUCGUAACAAGGUAGCCGUAUCGGAAGGUGCGGCUGGAUCACCU